AACCACCAAAACUCCCUGGUCUCUCUGUGGUACAUCACAUCCUCCCCGUGCUUCCUCUUAGCCGGCUCUGCCCCAUGGUGCACACGCAGCUUGCCUUUCCGAGGACAAGCGGGAAGAGGCAUGACAAGUGGCUUUGUUUGGCUUUUGUUUGCUGCAUUUGGGAAAUGGUCUACAAGAUUGUAGAUGGUUUACAAGAUUGUAACCUGGUGGAGAAAGAAGAACAUUUUUUAUUUGUUUACACCAAGAGAGGAGCAGACGUCAUCUCUUUAGGGUGCCUAGUGCCUGGUGGCUUUACACUGAGAGCAGCGUGA
RNAcentral lists this long non-coding RNA (311 nucleotides) under Anser brachyrhynchus (Pink-footed goose). RNAcentral's name for it is "lncRNA (ENSABRG00000003980.1)". Lineage: Eukaryota; Metazoa; Chordata; Aves; Anseriformes; Anatidae. The record is from RNAcentral.